Molecule: ribosomal RNA, 404 nt
Filed under: uncultured bacterium
Lineage: Bacteria
Description: bacterial SSU rRNA
Rfam family: Bacterial small subunit ribosomal RNA
Source: RNAcentral
UGAGGAAUAUUGCACAAUGGGCGCAAGCCUGAUGCAGCAACGCCGCGUGAGGGACGAAGGCCUUCGGGUCGUAAACCUCUUUUCUGGGGGACGAGUAAGGACGGUACCCCAGGAAUAAGUCUCGGCUAACUACGUGCCAGCAGCCGCGGUAAAACGUAGGAGGCGAGCGUUACCCGGAUUUACUGGGCGUAAAGCGUACGCAGGUGGCUUCGUUAGUCGGACAUGAAAGCUCCUGGCUUAACUGGGAGAGGUUGUUCGAUACUGCGGGGCUUGAGGUUGGGAGAGGGACGUGGAAUUCCCGGUGUAGGGGUGGAAUGCGUAGAUAUCGGGAGGAACACCAGUGGCGCAAGCGGCGUCCUGGCCCACACCUGACGCUGAGGUACGAAAGCGUGGGUAGCAAACAG